CCCUUAGAUGUUCUGGGCUGCACGCGUGCUACACUGAUAUUGCCAAUGUGUCAUUCUUAUCCGAAAUGGAUUGGGUAAUCAAGUAAUGAAAUUUCAUGCUUGGAAUCGGUAAUUGCAAUUUUAUCGUGAACGAGGAAUUCCUAGUAAGCACUAGUCAUCAGCUAAUGUUGAUUAUGUCCCUGCCCUUUGUACACACCGCCCGUCGCUACUACUGAUUGGGUGUUCAAGUGAGAUGCUUAGACCCUUGUUGCAUGGUUCAUUAUUGUGCUCCGAAAGGAAAAAGUUUCAAGCUUGAGUGUCUAGAGGAAGUAAAAGUCGUAACA
This 323-nucleotide ribosomal RNA is filed under the name uncultured eukaryote. RNAcentral's name for it is "partial 18S ribosomal RNA". It matches the Rfam family "Eukaryotic small subunit ribosomal RNA", at positions 1470 to 1796 of the family's 1831-position model. The record is from RNAcentral.